AUUGAACGCUGGCGGAAUGCUUUACACAUGCAAGUCGAGCGGCAGCGCGGGGCAACCUGGCGGCGAGCGGCGAACGGGUGAGUAAUGCAUCGGAACAUGUCCAUGUCGUGGGGGAUAGCCCGGCGAAAGCCGGAUUAAUACCGCAUACGCUCGAGAGAGGAAAGCCGGGGAACGCAAGGCCUGGCGCGAUUGGGUUGGCCGAUGUCCGAUUAGCUAGUUGGUGAGGUAAAGGCUUACCAAGGCGAUGAUCGGUAGCUGGUCGGAGAGGAUGAUCAGCCACACUGGGACUGAGACACGGCCCAGACUCCUACGGGAGGCAGCAGUGGGGAAUUUUGGACAAUGGGGGCAACCCUGAUCCAGCCAUUCCGCGUGAGUGAAGAAGGCCUUCGGGUUGUAAAGCUCUUUUGUCCGGAGCGAAACGGUUGUGGUGAAUAUCCACGACUACCGACGGUACCGGAAGAAUAAGCACCGGCUAACUACGUGCCAGCAGCCGCGGUAACAC
RNAcentral lists this ribosomal RNA (502 nucleotides) under uncultured bacterium. Its description in RNAcentral is "bacterial SSU rRNA". It matches the Rfam family "Bacterial small subunit ribosomal RNA", at positions 29 to 526 of the family's 1533-position model. The record is from RNAcentral.